RNAcentral lists this ribosomal RNA (512 nucleotides) under uncultured bacterium. RNAcentral's name for it is "bacterial SSU rRNA". It matches the Rfam family "Bacterial small subunit ribosomal RNA", at positions 15 to 518 of the family's 1533-position model. The record is from RNAcentral.
GAUUCUGGCUCAGGAUGAACGCUAGCUACAGGCUUAACACAUGCAAGUCGAGGGGCAGCGAGAAGAAAGCUUGCUUCUUGUCGGCGACCGGCGCACGGGUGAGUAACGCGUAUCCAACCUUCCCCUUAGUAGAGGAUAGCCCGGCGAAAGUCGGAUUAAUACUCUAUGUUGUAUUAUGAGGACAUCUGAGUAAUACCAAAGAUUCAUCGCUAAGGGAUGGGGAUGCGUCUGAUUAGCUUGUUGGCGGGGUAACGGCCCACCAAGGCGACGAUCAGUAGGGGUUCUGAGAGGAAGGUCCCCCACAUUGGUACUGAGACACGGACCAAACUCCUACGGGAGGCAGCAGUGAGGAAUAUUGGUCAAUGGGCGGAAGCCUGAACCAGCCAAGUAGCGUGCAGGACGACUGCCCUAUGGGUUGUAAACCUCUUUUGUUUGGGAAUAAAGUGAGCCACGUGUGGCUUUUUGUAUGUACCUUACGAAUAAGCAUCGGCUAAUUCCGUGCCAGCCGCCGC